AUCAAGAUUCUCUGAUCAUGAGUCCCACACAUUUUGGGUACCGGGGUCAAGAGUCCCACUGGUUUGGGACUCUUCGAUCAAGGUUUCAUAUUGAUGGACUUUGAUACCCGAUUGCCCAUCGGAUUUGGACUCAAUAUUUAUGAGAGAUUUAAUUAGUGAUUUGAUCACUAAUUAACUCAAUUUUAUUGAGUAAUUAUUUAUGGAUCAAGUCCAAUUGAAUUGG
RNAcentral lists this long non-coding RNA (223 nucleotides) under Elaeis guineensis (African oil palm). Its description in RNAcentral is "long non-coding RNA (EGUI_LNC075416)". Lineage: Eukaryota; Viridiplantae; Streptophyta; Magnoliopsida; Arecales; Arecaceae. The record is from RNAcentral.